This 73-nucleotide transfer RNA is filed under the name Felis catus (domestic cat). It matches the Rfam family "tRNA". Rfam says of the family: Transfer RNA (tRNA) molecules are approximately 80 nucleotides in length. Their secondary structure includes four short double-helical elements and three loops (D, anti-codon, and T loops). The record is from Rfam by way of RNAcentral. Lineage: Eukaryota; Metazoa; Chordata; Mammalia; Carnivora; Felidae.
GCCUGGCUGGCUUAGUCAGUAGAGCAUGUGACUCUUGAUCUUGGGGUGGUGAGUUCAAGUCCCAUGUGAGGCG